GAUGAACGCUGGCGGCGUGCCUAAUACAUGCAAGUCGAGCGAACAGACGAGGAGCUUGCUCCUCUGACGUUAGCGGCGGACGGGUGAGUAACACGUGGAUAACCUACCUAUAAGACUGGGAUAACUUCGGGAAACCGGAGCUAAUACCGGAUAAUAUAUUGAACCGCAUGGUUCAAUAGUGAAAGACGGUUUUGCUGUCUCUUAUAGAUGGAUCCGCGCCGCAUUAGCUAGUUGGUAAGGUAACGGCUUACCAAGGCAACGAUGCGUAGCCGACCUGAGAGGGGGAUCGGCCACACUGGAACUGAGACACGGUCCAGACUCCUACGGGAGGCAGCAGUAGGGAAUCUUCCGCAAUGGGCGAAAGCCUGACGGAGCAACGCCGCGUGAGUGAUGAAGGUCUUCGGAUCGUAAAACUCUGUUAUUAGGGAAGAACAAAUGUGUAAGUAACUAUGCACGUCUUGACGGUACCUAAUCAGAAAGCCACGGCUAACUACGUG
Molecule: ribosomal RNA, 497 nt
Filed under: uncultured bacterium
Lineage: Bacteria
Description: partial 16S ribosomal RNA
Rfam family: Bacterial small subunit ribosomal RNA
Source: RNAcentral